CAGCAGCCGCGGGAAUACGAAGGGUGCAAGCGCUACUCGGAAUUACUGGGCGUAAAGCGUGCGUAGGUGGUGGUUUAAGUCCGUUGUGAAAGCCCUGGGCUCAACCUGGGAAUUGCAGUGGAUACUGGAUCACUAGAGUGUGGUAGAGGAUAGUGGAAUUUCCGGAGUAGCAGUGAAAUGCGUAGAGAUCGGAAGGAACAUCUGUGGCGAAGGCGACUAUCUGGGCCAACACUGACACUGAGGCACGAAAGCGUGGGGAGCAAACAGGAUUAGAUACCCCUGUAGUCCCUGUCUCUUAUAA
RNAcentral lists this ribosomal RNA (301 nucleotides) under uncultured bacterium. RNAcentral describes it as "partial 16S ribosomal RNA". It matches the Rfam family "Bacterial small subunit ribosomal RNA", at positions 509 to 809 of the family's 1533-position model. The record is from RNAcentral.